GAGGAAAUGUGGAGUGACUGUCAGAUGCAGCCAGCAGAAUAAGUGGUUUGGCUGAACUGUCUUACUCCCACAUCCUC
MicroRNA precursor from Bison bison bison, 77 nucleotides. Lineage: Eukaryota; Metazoa; Chordata; Mammalia; Artiodactyla; Bovidae. The record is from Ensembl.